RNAcentral lists this non-coding RNA (84 nucleotides) under unclassified sequences. Its description in RNAcentral is "RAGATH-28 RNA". It matches the Rfam family "RAGATH-28 RNA". Rfam says of the family: Clostridiales (Firmicutes). The record is from Rfam by way of RNAcentral.
GCCUGGUUGAUUCGUCCUGGGCUGUGGAGCAGGUGAACAGAUGCGGAAAACCUGGGCCCAAUGUGGCGGUCGGAAUGGCGAAGC